CUGAGCUGGAGGAAAAGGUGCUGUCCCGGCUGGCCGAAAAGGUGAAAGCCUAUGCUCUGAUGGAGGAGGCUGAGGAGCUGCUCCAGGAUGGAGAAGAGGACUCCAGUGUCACUGUCCAGAAGAGAGCCUGCAACACUGCUACCUGCCUGCUCCACAGGAUGGUGGAGACAGUGAGCGCCAACCAAAAUGGGGGAAGGAACUACCUGCUGCCCUUCAACAUGGGCUUCAGGGUGUUUGGUGGACGCCGCAAGUUCCGUAAGAACUGAGCAGUGACGUGACUCCAGGAAGGUCCCCAACUGAAAUCUACUUUCAAUUUAAAACAACAGCAUGCAUGAAACUUAAAUUCAUCCUUCCUGGUAUUGAAGCCUCCCUUUCUCUCUGAAAUAAAUAAAAUCUAAAGGCAAAAUAAAAGUGAAUGCAAUGAUCUUGUGUGCCUCUCUCUUUUAUAUACUCGGUUCGGUAUUGCGUCAGUAUAAUGACA
Sorex araneus (European shrew) is the source of this 481-nucleotide long non-coding RNA. RefSeq lists it as uncharacterized. Lineage: Eukaryota; Metazoa; Chordata; Mammalia; Eulipotyphla; Soricidae. The transcript is spliced from 3 exons. The record is from RefSeq and is a predicted model, not a curated record.